CCUACGGGAGGCAGCAGUGGGGAAUAUUGGACAAUGGGCGAAAGCCUGAUCCAGCAAUGCCGCGUGAGUGAUGAAGGCCUUAGGGUUGUAAAGCUCUUUUACCCGGGAUGAUAAUGACAGUACCGGGAGAAUAAGCUCCGGCUAACUCCGUGCCAGCAGCCGCGGUAAUACGGAGGGAGCUAGCGUUAUUCGGAAUUACUGGGCGUAAAGCGCACGUAGGCGGCUUUGUAAGUAAGAGGUGAAAGCCUGGUGCUCAACACCAGAACUGCCUUUUAGACUGCAUCGCUUGAAUCCAGGAGAGGUGAGUGGAAUUCCGAGUGUAGAGGUGAAAUUCGUAGAUAUUCGGAAGAACACCAGUGGCGAAGGCGGCUCACUGGACUGGUAUUGACGCUGAGGUGCGAAAAGCGUGGGGAGCAAAACAGGAUUAGAUACCCCUGGUAGUCCACGCCGUAAAACGAUGAUAACUAGCUGUCGGGGUUCUUAGAACUUCGGUGGCGCAGCUAACGCAUUAAGUUAUCCGCCUGGGGAGUACGGCCGCAAGGUUAAAACUCAAAAGGAAAUUGAACGGCUUGAGAGUGCGAGAGCACAGGAGAGG
This 595-nucleotide ribosomal RNA is filed under the name uncultured bacterium. RNAcentral's name for it is "bacterial SSU rRNA". It matches the Rfam family "Bacterial small subunit ribosomal RNA", at positions 338 to 946 of the family's 1533-position model. The record is from RNAcentral.